GUCAGGAUGGCCGAGCGGUCUAAGGCGCUUCGUUCAGAUCGCAGUCCUAUUCUGUGGGCGUGGGUUCGAAUCCCACUUCGGACA
Trichonephila clavipes is the source of this 84-nucleotide non-coding RNA. Lineage: Eukaryota; Metazoa; Arthropoda; Arachnida; Araneae; Nephilidae. The record is from the annotation of a GenBank genome assembly.